AGACUCAACCAGGAGCCCUAGCUGACUCAGUCACAUGGUCACCUCUGGGCUGCCCUCCCUGGACCACCCACAUCUGUCCUGAUGGCCAAGUCUCCUCCCACUCACACUGGGGAGCCCUGAGAAGCCCCAGAGGAGCAGUUGUAUUUCAUCCAACCCCUGGCAACAGGCUGAUCAAGUCGAAUGUAGACAUGCUCCCUGCUUCCCAGACUCAGCCCCAAGGACCACAAGUGAACACUCAAAAAAUGCAGGCGCAUACUCUCAGGAAAAAAGCCUGAAGGCUCAACCUGGUCUGCGAGGCACUCUGUGCUCUGGUCUCCCCUGCUGACCCAUGCAGACCACGCUGGUGUUCCUUGAACACACCCUACACCAGAAGCACUGUCCAAAAAGAUGACUGGAUGUCAACUCAAGUGUCACCUGCUCCCUGAGCCUCCCUCCUAGAACCAUCCUGGGUAACACAGUCCCGUCUCUCUCACGUGACCCUGCUUUACUUUCUUCAAAGCAUCUCUAAGUACAGGUACACCUCAAAGAUUCUGUGCUUCAGUUCCAGCCCACCAAAAUACAUAAAGCGAGUUGCGUAACUUUU
Molecule: long non-coding RNA, 583 nt
Organism: Odocoileus virginianus texanus
Lineage: Eukaryota; Metazoa; Chordata; Mammalia; Artiodactyla; Cervidae
Source: RefSeq, a predicted model, not a curated record